This is a small nuclear RNA of 153 nucleotides. Its record names the gene U4. It matches the Rfam family "U4 spliceosomal RNA". From Rfam's summary of the family: U4 small nuclear RNA (U4 snRNA) is a component of the major U2-dependent spliceosome. The structure of U4 snRNA from yeast and human has been reported. The record is from Ensembl.
AGCUUUGCGCAGUGGCAGUAUCAUAGCCAAUGAGGUUUAUCCGAGGCGCGAUUAUUGCUAAUUGAGAAUUUCUCCAGUUGUCCCCUAGGUGGAAAUACUCUGAAUUUUCAGAAGCGGCAUGUGUAAUCGAAAAUGUACGUGCAACUUCAGUCG